Molecule: ribosomal RNA, 372 nt
Filed under: uncultured organism
Description: bacterial SSU rRNA
Rfam family: Bacterial small subunit ribosomal RNA
Source: RNAcentral
CAGAGGGUGCAAACGUUGUUCGGAUUUACUGGGCGUAAAGCGCGUGUAGGCGGCUUUGCAAGUCGGAUGUGAAAUCCCACGGCUCAACCGUGGAAGUGCAUCCGAAACGGCAUGGCUGGAGUCCCGGAGAGGAAGGUGGAAUGCUUGGUGUAGAGGUGAAAUUCGUAGAUAUCAAGCAGAACACCUGCGGCGAAGGCGGCCUUCUGGACGGUGACUGACGCUGAGACGCGAAAGCGUGGGGAGCAAACAGGAUUAGAUACCCUGGUAGUCCACGCCGUAAACGAUGAGUGCUAGGUGUCACGGGCUUUGACCCUCGUGGUGCCGUAGCUAACGCAAUAAGCACUCCGCCUGGGGAGUACGGCCGCAAGGCUA